RNAcentral lists this ribosomal RNA (497 nucleotides) under uncultured bacterium. RNAcentral's name for it is "partial 16S ribosomal RNA". It matches the Rfam family "Bacterial small subunit ribosomal RNA", at positions 28 to 507 of the family's 1533-position model. The record is from RNAcentral.
GAUGAACGCUGGCGGCGUGCCUAAUACAUGCAAGUCGAGCGAACAGACGAGGAGCUUGCUCCUUUGACGUUAGCGGCGGACGGGUGAGUAACACGUGGAUAACCUACCUAUAAGACUGGGAUAACUUCGGGAAACCGGAGCUAAUACCGGAUAACAUGCUGAACCGCAUGGUUCAACAGUGAAAGACGGUCUUGCUGUCACUUAUAGAUGGAUCCGCGCCGCAUUAGCUAGUUGGUAAGGUAACGGCUUACCAAGGCAACGAUGCGUAGCCGACCUGAGAGGGUGAUCGGCCACACUGGAACUGAGACACGGUCCAGACUCCUACGGGAGGCAGCAGUAGGGAAUCUUCCGCAAUGGGCGAAAGCCUGACGGAGCAACGCCGCGUGAGUGAAGAAGGUCUUCGGAUCGUAAAACUCUGUUAUUAGGGAAGAACAAAUGUGUAAGUAACUAUGCACGUCUUGACGGUACCUAAUCAGAAAGCCACGGCUAACUACGUG